GGUGCCAUUUGGGACUUAAACCACUGAGUUGGAGGGAAAUGGUGGGUAGGCCUACAGAUCUAGGAUCAGCUUCCCCUCUAACCAAUCCUAACCUUAGCCCUUAUUGGGAAAAUGCUCAAAACUGACCCAAUAUCAGCGUGGAACUCCCUCGUCCCCUACGGCUAUGACAGUAUUCAGUAGGUCACGAAAACAACUCGAGUCAUUUCUGGAGACAUGAACCAGUCUCUUGUACUAGCUAGCCACCAAUAAAAGGACAGGACCGACCAACACCAACGUCAGCCGUGCCCAGUAGAUCACCUGCUGGGUGGGACUGGUGUGGUCCUGUCCCCAAUGCUGCCACAUGCCUCCAACAAGAUCAACCCAGUUACUCAGUUUACAUUCUCUGCUGGUACAGUAACCACUUCUAUAGCGUUUAGCCUCUUCCAUUUGAACUGAUAAGACCACGACAGGUUGGAGGGAGGAGAAUGGAAACUAGCCCGGCGCGUUCACCUCCCUGUUAGAGUACUGUACUGAAGGAGACAAGGAAAGGAAGCUAGUGAGGACUAUUGAGACUCAGCCCAGACACUUGUGUUAGAAGACACGAGUCUAAAAAAGGUGCCGCAUGGUCAAUCCGAUGUCUGCGGCGGCAGCACAGCGCGUUACUGUGUCGCGGCAGCACAGCGCGUUACUGUGUCGCGGCAGCACAGCGCGUUACUGUGUCGCGGCAGCACAGCGCGUUACUGUGUCGCGGCAGCACAGCGCGUUACUGUGUCGCGGCAGCACAGCGCGUUACUGUGUCGCGGCAGCACAGCGCGUUACUGUGUCGCGGCAGCACAGCGCGUUACUGUGUCGCGGCAGCACAGCGCGUUACUGUGUCGCGGCAGCACAGCGCGUUACCGUGUCGCGGCAGCACAGCGCGUUACUGUGUCGCGGCAGCACAGCGCGUUACCGUGUCGCGGCAGUACAGCGCGUUACCGUAUCGCGGCAGUACAGCGUGUUACCGUGUCGCGGCAGUACAGCGUGUUACCGUGUCGCGGCACCGUGUCGCGGCAGAACAGCGUGUUACCGUGUCGCGGCAGUACAGCGUGUUACCGUGUCGCGGCAGCACAGCGCGUUACUGUGUCGCGGCAGUACAGCGCGUUACCGUGUCGCGGCAGCACAGCGCGUUACCGUGUCGCGGCAGUACAGCAAAUUACUGUGUCGCGGCAGAACAGAACGUUACCGUGUCGCGGCAGUACAGCGAGUUACUGUGUUGCGGCAGAACAGCGAGUUACUGUGUCGCGGCAGCACAGCACGUUACCGCGUCGCGGCAGUACAGCGCGUAACCGUGUCGCGGCAGCACAGCGCGUUACUGUGUCGCGGCAGUACAGCGAGUUACUGUGUCGCGGCAGCACAGCGCGUUACCGUGUCGCGGCAGUACAGCGUGUUACCGUAUCGUGGCAGUACAGCGCGUUACCGUGUCGCGGCAGAACAGCGAGUUACCGUGUCGCGGCAGCACAGCGAGUUACCGUGUCGCGGCAGCACAGCACGUUACCGUGUCGCGGCAGUACAGCGCGUAACCGUGUCGCGGCAGCACAGCGCGUUACUGUGUCGCGGCAGUACAGCGAGUUACUGUGUCGCGGCAGCACAGCGCGUUACCGUGUCGCGGCAGCACAGCGCGUUACUGUGUCGCGGCAGCACAGCGCGUUACUGUGUCGCGGCAGCACAGCGCGUUACUGUGUUGCGGCAGCACAGCGCGUUACCGUGUCGCGGCAGUACAGCGUGUUACCGUAUCGCGGCAGUACAGCGCGUUACUGUGUCGCGGCAGAACAGCGAGUUACCGUGUCGCGGCAGUACAGCGUGUUACCGUGUCGCGGCAGUACAGCGUGUUACCGUGUCGCGGCAGAACAGCGUGUUACCGUGUCGCGGCAGUACAGCGUGUUACCGUGUCGCGGCAGUACAGCGUGUUACCGUGUCGCGGCAGUACAGCGUGUUACCGUGUCGCGGCAGAACAGCGUGUUACCGUGUCGCGGCAGUACAGCGUGUUACCGCGUCGCGGCAGUACAGCGUGUUACCGUGUCGCGGCAGCACAGCGUGUUACUGUAAUGCAGCCUCUGCAGAAGUCAGAGCAAACAUACUUUUUGGAGCUUCCCAGAGCCGUUGUGAAGGAAGGUGUCGAGAGAGUGAGUUUGUGUUUAUUCAGGACCUCCCACCCUCACCUACCGUCAACCAAUCAUGUCAAUGCGGAGCUAUACGGAGCCCCCCCACAUUGUUACAACAUUUGAGAGGUGCACAGCGAUGCGGUAUGGAGCUUGAUUCGGACUCUGCACGCCUCCGGAGCCUCGUCGCACCCUCCAUAUGGUCUCCACCAUUUGAUCAGAUUCAGUAUAAAAUUGUCUUUAACUGUAAUGGUUCAUCCCCUAGAUCACUGUCACACCUAGAGUCACAAAAUUACCAGGUUUUCCAGAAAUCCUGGUUGGAGGAUUCCGGGUUUUCCUUCUUAGGGUAA
Molecule: long non-coding RNA, 2467 nt
Organism: Oncorhynchus mykiss (rainbow trout)
Lineage: Eukaryota; Metazoa; Chordata; Actinopteri; Salmoniformes; Salmonidae
Source: Ensembl